CUACGGGAGGCUGCAGUGAGGAAUAUUGCACAAUGGGGGGAACCCUGAUGCAGCAACGCCGCGUGGAGGAUGACGCAUUUCGGAGUGUAAACUCCUUUUAUAUGUCAAGAAAAUGACGGUAGCAUAUGAAUAAGCACCGGCUAACUCUGUGCCAGCAGCCGCGGUAAUAAGGAGGGUGCAAGCGUUACUCGGAAUCACUGGGCGUAAAGGACGCGUAGGCGGGUUGGAAAGUCAGGUGUGAAAUCCUACAGCUUAACUGUAGAACUGCACUUGAAACUUCUAAUCUAGAGUAUGGGAGGGGGAGAUGGAAUUAGUGGUGUAGGGGUAAAAUCCGUAGAUAUCACUAGGAAUACCUAAGGCGAAGGCGAUCUCCUGGAACAUUACUGACGCUAAGGCGUGAAAGCGUGGGGAGCAAACAGGAUUAGAUACCCGCGUAGUC
RNAcentral lists this ribosomal RNA (439 nucleotides) under uncultured bacterium. RNAcentral's name for it is "partial 16S ribosomal RNA". It matches the Rfam family "Bacterial small subunit ribosomal RNA", at positions 339 to 795 of the family's 1533-position model. The record is from RNAcentral.